This 71-nucleotide transfer RNA is filed under the name Marmota monax (woodchuck). RNAcentral describes it as "tRNA.Ala". The record is from RNAcentral. Lineage: Eukaryota; Metazoa; Chordata; Mammalia; Rodentia; Sciuridae.
GAGGAUGUAGCUCAGUGGUACAGCACUUGCCUAGCACGCAUGAGGCACUGUGUUUGAUCCUCUGCACUACA